RNAcentral lists this ribosomal RNA (250 nucleotides) under uncultured Oscillospiraceae bacterium. RNAcentral's name for it is "partial 16S ribosomal RNA". It matches the Rfam family "Bacterial small subunit ribosomal RNA", at positions 524 to 773 of the family's 1533-position model. Lineage: Bacteria; Bacillati; Bacillota; Clostridia; Eubacteriales; Oscillospiraceae. The record is from RNAcentral.
UACGUAGGUGGCGAGCGUUGUCCGGAAUUACUGGGUGUAAAGGGCGUGUAGGCGGGAAUGUAAGUCAGAUGUGAAAUCCCAGGGCUUAACCCUGGAGCUGCAUCUGAAACUAUGUUUCUUGAGUGUCGGAGAGGAAAGCGGAAUUCCUAGUGUAGCGGUGAAAUGCGUAGAUAUUAGGAGGAACACCAGUGGCGAAGGCGGCUUUCUGGACGAUAACUGACGCUGAGGCGCGAAAGCGUGGGGAGCAAAC